UACAGAGGGUGCAAGCGUUAAUCGGAAUUACUGGGCGUAAAGCGCGCGUAGGUGGUUUGUUAAGUUGGAUGUGAAAGCCCCGGGCUCAACCUGGGAACUGCAUCCAAAACUGGCAAGCUAGAGUACGAUAGAGGGUGGUGGAAUUUCCUGUGUAGCGGUGAAAUGCGUAGAUAUAGGAAGGAACACCAGUGGCGAAGGCGACCACCUGGACUGAUACUGACACUGAGGUGCGAAAGCGUGGGGAGCAAACAGG
RNAcentral lists this ribosomal RNA (253 nucleotides) under uncultured bacterium. Its description in RNAcentral is "partial 16S ribosomal RNA". It matches the Rfam family "Bacterial small subunit ribosomal RNA", at positions 524 to 776 of the family's 1533-position model. The record is from RNAcentral.